RNAcentral lists this ribosomal RNA (744 nucleotides) under Allantophomopsiella pseudotsugae. RNAcentral's name for it is "partial large subunit ribosomal RNA". It matches the Rfam family "Eukaryotic large subunit ribosomal RNA", at positions 95 to 856 of the family's 3401-position model. Lineage: Eukaryota; Fungi; Ascomycota; Leotiomycetes; Phacidiales; Phacidiaceae. The record is from RNAcentral.
GAAGCGGCAACAGCUCAAAUUUGAAAUCUGGCCCUUUCAGGGUCCGAGUUGUAAUUUGUAGAGGAUGUUUCGGGUGUGGCUCCGGUCUAAGUUCCUUGGAACAGGACGUCAUAGAGGGUGAGAAUCCCGUAUGUGACUGGUAGCCUAUGCCCAUGUGAAACUCCUUCGACGAGUCGAGUUGUUUGGGAAUGCAGCUCAAAAUGGGUGGUAAAUUUCAUCUAAAGCUAAAUAUUGGCCAGAGACCGAUAGCGCACAAGUAGAGUGAUCGAAAGAUGAAAAGCACUUUGGAAAGAGAGUUAAACAGUACGUGAAAUUGUUGAAAGGGAAGCGCUUGCAACCAGACUUGCAUGUAGCUGAUCAACCGGUGUUCUCACCGGUGCACUCAGUUGCGUUCAGGCCAGCAUCGGUUUCGACGGUUGGAUAAAGGCCUUGGGAAUGUAGCUCCUCUCGGGGAGUGUUAUAGCCCAGGGUGCAAUGCAGCCUGUUGGGACCGAGGACCGCGCUUCGGCUAGGAUGCUGGCGUAAUGGUUGUAAGCGACCCGUCUUGAAACACGGACCAAGGAGUCUAACAUCUAUGCGAGUGUUUGGGUGUCAAACCCAUACGCGUAAUGAAAGUGAACGGAGGUGAGAACCCUUAAGGGUGCAUCAUCGACCGAUCCUGAUGUCUUCGGAUGGAUUUGAGUAAGAGCAUAGCUGUUGGGACCCGAAAGAUGGUGAACUAUGCCUGAAUAGGGUGAAGCCAGA